This is a long non-coding RNA of Gopherus evgoodei (Goodes thornscrub tortoise), 1413 nucleotides long. RefSeq lists it as uncharacterized. The record is from RefSeq and is a predicted model, not a curated record. NCBI's taxonomy places the organism in Eukaryota, Metazoa, Chordata, Testudines, Testudinidae. The transcript is spliced from 2 exons.
CAAAAAUAAAUGUCACAGCCCCAAAGAACUUACAGUCUAUAUCUCAACAUUAAAAAAUGCUGGAGUUUGGUUUAAGCUUUCAGGGAGAGAGGAUGGCUUUUAUGUUUCUGAGUGGGUUUACCCAUCCCUAAUCUGCUUUCUUUUACUUUAAGUGCUGCAUUUGUACCAUGAGGCUCUGAUGGACAGUCUGUGUAUCUAGGGGUUGGAAGCUGAAAGACACUCUACCCAGUGAAUACCAAAAAUAACCAUCUGACAUGAACCUGCACCAUUGGCCUCAUCAUUGCAAGUGAAUUGUUGUGUGGGGAGGUCAUCACCAAUCUACAAACUGUUUAGCAGAGAAUCAGUCCAGGAAACCAACCAAGAAAAAAGUCUAGAGGUGCAUGAAGAAAAUAAGGAGCAAGAAACCUCUGGCAGGCACACCGCUAUAUCGCAACCAGUGGGAGAGUGUGGCCACAACUCAGAAGACGUGCUACUAAUUCCAGUAUCCCUUUUUAACAUCAGUGAUCCCCCAACAUGGCCCAAGUUCAUAGAUGACAAAAGACCAGCCAAACUGAAACAUGGACUGUUGCAAAUUAAAGGUAAAAGUUUUCCAAGUCACAAUGGAAGAAAAUUAAAAAAUGGAGGAAAUAUACAAUGGCACUGGCUCAUGUAGUCAAGUAAAGUGGAUGCAUUAUUUUUGCUGAAAGUAUUUGGUGUUGGUAAGCAUCAUCUCAUGGAUGGUGGUGUUCCCUCAAAACGUAACUCUCAAAACUCAUGAGAAAAUCCAUGUUCUUCACAUUGGAAAUAUGGUGAAGUGGAGAGAAUUGGAACUACAACUGAAAACUGAAUCUGCAGUUGACCAGACUUCAUAAUCAUUGUUCGAAAUUGAGAGACAACACUUGUGAGGUGUAUUUGAAAGAACUGUGGCCAUUGUUCUUCACUUAGCAUUUUGUGGUUCCAUGGAAAAAUGUAACCGGUGUGGAAAUGGUAACUUCUUAGGCCAAGUCGAGUUAAUGGCUAAAUUUGAUACUGUGAUGAAGGAACAUGUAAGACAGUUCUUUGCUACAGACACCAUAAUUUAACUUCAAAAUGAUAUCAUUUUGUAUUGUAGGGCUUAUUUCAAAAGGUAACAGGUACAUUUAUUAACAGUGUAAACAAGAUAAAGUAUUACUCCAUUAUUUUGGAUUGCAUAUCUGAUAUCAGACACGAGGAACAAAUGUCUAGACUCAUAGAUCUUAAGGCUGAAAAGGACCAUUGAGAUCAUCUUGUCUCAGCUCCUGCACAUCACAGGCCACGGUACCUCACCCACCCACUCCUGUAGUAUGCCUAUAACCUCUCCUCAAGUCAUGACUUAAAGGGUUCAAGUUAAAGAGUAUCCACCAUUUACUCUUUUUCAACCCAGCAAGUGACCCAUGCCCCAUGCUGCAGAGAGAG